AGGAACUUGGCCGCGUGCUUAUACAUGCAAGUCGAGCGAACGGACGAGAAGCUUGCUUCUCUGAUGUUACCGGCGGACGGGUGAGUAACACGUGGAUAACCUACCUAUAAGACUGGGAUAACUUCGGGAAACCGGAGCUAAUACCGGAUAAUAUUUUGAACCGCAUGGUUCAAAAGUGAAAGACGGUCUUGCUGUCACUUAUAGAUGGAUCCGCGCUGCAUUAGCUAGUUGGUAAGGUAACGGCUUACCAAGGCAACGAUGCAUAACCGACCUGAGAAGGUAAUCGGCCACACUGGAACUGAUACACGGUCCAGACUCCUACGGGAGGCAACAGUAGGGAAUCUUCCGCAUGGGCGAAAGCCUGACGGAGCAACGCCGCGUGAGUGAUGAAGGUCUUCGGAUCUUAAAACUCUGAUAUUAGGGAAGAAAUAUGUGUAAAUAAAUGUGCACGUCUGGUAGGUACCUAAUCAGAAAGCCCGGCUAACUACAUGCCGUGGCGGCAUAAUACGUAGUUGGAAGC
This 520-nucleotide ribosomal RNA is filed under the name Staphylococcus aureus. RNAcentral describes it as "bacterial SSU rRNA". It matches the Rfam family "Bacterial small subunit ribosomal RNA", at positions 37 to 535 of the family's 1533-position model. The record is from RNAcentral. Lineage: Bacteria; Bacillati; Bacillota; Bacilli; Caryophanales; Staphylococcaceae.